CACGUAGGGGGCGAGCGUUGUCCGGAAUUACUGGGCGUAAAGGGCGCGCAGGCUGUUAUGCGAGUCUGCUGUGAAAUGUACCGGCUCAACCGGUGCCUUGCGGCGGAUACUGCAUAGCUGGAGUUCGAGAGAGGCGAGUGGAAUUCCGAGUGUAGAGGUGAAAUUCGUAGAUAUUCGGAGGAACACCAGUGGCGAAGGCGGCUCGCUGGCUCGACACUGACGCUGAGGUGCGAAAGCGUGGGGAGCAAACAGGA
Molecule: ribosomal RNA, 254 nt
Filed under: uncultured prokaryote
Description: partial 16S ribosomal RNA
Rfam family: Bacterial small subunit ribosomal RNA
Source: RNAcentral